GCAGGAGUAGUCUAGUGGUUAUGAUGUCGCCUUUACACGGCGAAGGUCGGGGGUUCGAUCCCCCCCUCUUGUA
Molecule: non-coding RNA, 73 nt
Organism: Trichodelitschia bisporula
Lineage: Eukaryota; Fungi; Ascomycota; Dothideomycetes; Phaeotrichales; Phaeotrichaceae
Source: the annotation of a GenBank genome assembly